GCAUGACAAAACUCAGGUCCCUACCCCCUUUCUAAAUUUCACUUCCUGUUAAAAACCAACACACUCAUUGCCUAACAGACACACGCCUUCACUGAUGCAUACACUGACAUACACUCACUGACAGAUACAAAGUCAUUGUCACACACACUGUUUAACCAACACACACUUUCACUGAAACAUACACACUCACUCACAUUCACCGACAGACACAUUAACUGACACACGCAUUCACUGACAGAUACACACACAUUCUCACUAACAGACAUACUAACACUCAUCAACAGACACACACACUAACACACUAAUCAACAGACACACUAACACACACAGUCUCACUAACACACUCACUAACAGAUACAGACACUCUCACUAACAG
Molecule: non-coding RNA, 376 nt
Organism: Pelobates cultripes (western spadefoot toad)
Lineage: Eukaryota; Metazoa; Chordata; Amphibia; Anura; Pelobatidae
Source: the annotation of a GenBank genome assembly